RNAcentral lists this ribosomal RNA (807 nucleotides) under uncultured bacterium. Its description in RNAcentral is "bacterial SSU rRNA". It matches the Rfam family "Bacterial small subunit ribosomal RNA", at positions 629 to 1438 of the family's 1533-position model. The record is from RNAcentral.
UGAACUGGGUAGCUAGAGUAUGUCAGAGGGGGGUAGAAUUCCACGUGUAGCAGUGAAAUGCGUAGAGAUGUGGAGGAAUACCGAUGGCGAAGGCAGCCCCCUGGGAUAAUACUGACGUUCAUGCCCGAAAGCGUGGGUAGCAAACAGGAUUAGAUACCCUGGUAGUCCACGCCCUAAACGAUGUCGAUUAGCUGUUGGGCAACUUGAUUGCUUAGUAGCGAAGCUAACGCGUGAAAUCGACCGCCUGGGGAGUACGGUCGCAAGAUUAAAACUCAAAGGAAUUGACGGGGACCCGCACAAGCGGUGGAUGAUGUGGAUUAAUUCGAUGCAACGCGAAGAACCUUACCUGGUCUUGACAUGUACGGAAGAACUCAGAGACGAGUUUGUGCCUUCGGGAGCCGUAACACAGGUGCUGCAUGGCUGUCGUCAGCUCGUGUCGUGAGAUGUUGGGUUAAGUCCCGCAACGAGCGCAACCCUUGUCAUUAGUUGCCAUCAUUAAGUUGGGCACUCUAUGAGACUGCCGGUGACAAACCGGAGGAAGGUGGGGAUGACGUCAAGUCCUCAUGGCCCUUAUGACCAGGGCUUCACACGUCAUACAAUGGUCGGUACAGAGGGUAGCCAAGCCGCGAGGCGGAGCCAAUCCCAGAAAACCGAUCGUAGUCCGGAUUGCACUCUGCAACUCGAGUGCAUGAAGUCGGAAUCGCUAGUAAUCGCAGGUCAGCAUACUGCGGUGAAUACGUUCCCGGGUCUUGUACACACCGCCCGUCACACCAUGGGAGUGGGGGAUACCAGAAGCAGNUAGGAUAA